Molecule: ribosomal RNA, 235 nt
Filed under: uncultured bacterium
Lineage: Bacteria
Description: partial 16S ribosomal RNA
Rfam family: Bacterial small subunit ribosomal RNA
Source: RNAcentral
ACGGCGGACGGGUGAGUAACGCGUGGGAAUCUGCCCAGUAUGGGGGACAACAGCCGGAAACGGCUGCUAAUACCGCAUACGCCCUACGGGGGAAAGGGGGGGAUCUUCGGACCUCUCGCUAUUGGAUGAGCCCGCGUCGGAUUAGCUAGUUGGUAGGGUAAAGGCCUACCAAGGCUACGAUCCGUAACUGGUCUGAGAGGAUGAUCAGUCACACUGGAACUGAGACACGGUCCAG